RNAcentral lists this small RNA (966 nucleotides) under Oryza sativa Japonica Group (Japanese rice). RNAcentral's name for it is "sRNA Os06g0570000". The record is from RNAcentral. Lineage: Eukaryota; Viridiplantae; Streptophyta; Magnoliopsida; Poales; Poaceae.
CGAAAUGAGAAAUGAAAAAGAAUCUCUCCUCCCCCAAGUUAUGUCUCUUCUUCUCGCCUAAGUCUUCUUCUUCUUCUUCUUCCCCAUGCCAGUUCAUCGUGUCCCUCAACUCCGGUGAGCUUUGCCGCCACGGAUUGGUGACACAGAGCCAUCCCAGUAGAUGCUCUCGGCCUCCCCACUAGUGGAUCCGGUUGCCACCACUCCGACCGGCCAUCGGCGCUGGCAACGCGACCGCGUCCUCUACGGCAUGCUCUUGCCCCAUCAUCCACAUCGAUUUGGGUCUUUGGGCCACUCCAAGGUCUAGCCUUCAAGGGCAUGUCCGCCUCCACCAUGUCAUCGUAGGGCACCGGUCCGCUGCCUUGGUCAGAUACGAUCGAUCCAAUCCGCACUGGUGCUCACUCUGCAGCGUGAUCUUGAACCUGUGGUGAAUCCAUGGAAUGAUCCCCUAAUUCGAAUCACACACAGAAAAGCAAUGGCAUCAGCUCAUGUGCCAACUACUGUGGCUUCUAUUUGGAGGUCCAACAGAUGGAUAUAAACUUGAGACUGUUUCUCUGAAUGAUGCGAGUGCUUAUCUUCUGCCCAAGUCAGCUGAUCUACAGUUGGGGAGGUUUCUUCUUUGAGCAACAAGGUGUCAUGAAGAGCAUAGCUAUGCGGAAAUGUUGAAUGUUUCUCUGAAAGUCCAUGUUUUUGUGGACUUCUCUAAAAAUGAGGAAGAGCGCUCCUUGACUCCCCGAAAGAGAUGGAUCCUAGCAUCCUCGAUGUAAAUUAUUUCCCCACGUAGUGUUAGAUUACCAUAUCGAUGUUUACAUACCGGACAUUUGUAUUUAUUAUGUGCCAUUAACUAUAUAUUCCGCGCACGCAGCGGAGUGGCUGUUUCUUUCUAGUACUUAUUAUAUGACACCAUAUUGCUCUUUCCAAAAAAAUAUAGCGAUUACUUCCAAAUAAAAAAAAUAAUUGUAUUUAGUC